RNAcentral lists this RNase P RNA (335 nucleotides) under pig gut metagenome. RNAcentral describes it as "Bacterial RNase P class A". It matches the Rfam family "Bacterial RNase P class A". From Rfam's summary of the family: Ribonuclease P (RNase P) is a ubiquitous endoribonuclease, found in archaea, bacteria and eukarya as well as chloroplasts and mitochondria. Its best characterised activity is the generation of mature 5'-ends of tRNAs by cleaving the 5'-leader elements of precursor-tRNAs. The record is from RNAcentral.
AUGAUCGCGGCUGCACAGACGAAAGGGUGCAGGUGAGGAAAGUCCGGGCUUCAUAGGGCGGGAUGCCGGAUAACAUCCGGUGGAGGUGACUCCAAGGCCAGUGCAACAGAAAUAAUACCACCAACCAUUGAGGUUGGCCAGGGUGGAAUGGCAGUGUAAGAGACUACCGCUGCUCUGGUAACAGAGCAGGCUGUGUAAACCCCAUCCGAAGCAAGACCAAAUAGAAAGCUAUAGAUUGGCCCGAUCUGCUUUCAGGUAGGUCGCUUGAAAUUGCCGGUAACGGUAAUUCUAGAUAGAUGAUCAUUCACGACAUAACCCGGCUUAUCGUUCUGCUU